CUUGUUGGGUCACUUACUGCUUGGAUUGUCAACCAACUGGAUGUGCUGCUGCUAUUAACGUGUUGAUAUUGGUCACUUCCUGAGACCUGUUUGCUCUUCGGUGGAUGAGACUCAUGAAUGAAGAGCAUUGCAUCAUGGAUGGUCAAAAAGAAGAUAGACGUCUUGAUUUCAUCAUCAAAAAAAUGUACAGUUCCUCAGCUUCUCUAUGAUAUACGCUGGAAACGACAUGUCAAAGAAUGAACACAGCUGCCAUACCGCUUUAAGACCCUCGAGUGCAGAUAUAUCCAGGAAUGAGACCACAGAGAAGUCCAGGAUCAAACUGUGGAUGUUCA
Long non-coding RNA from Sinocyclocheilus anshuiensis, 332 nucleotides. RefSeq lists it as uncharacterized. The record is from RefSeq and is a predicted model, not a curated record. The transcript is spliced from 3 exons. Lineage: Eukaryota; Metazoa; Chordata; Actinopteri; Cypriniformes; Cyprinidae.